GGGCCCGUAGCUCAGGCUGGUUAGAGCGCACGCCUGAUAAGCGUGAGGUCGGAAGUUCGAGUCUUCCCGGGCCCA
RNAcentral lists this transfer RNA (75 nucleotides) under bacterium. RNAcentral describes it as "tRNA-Ile". It matches the Rfam family "tRNA". Rfam says of the family: Transfer RNA (tRNA) molecules are approximately 80 nucleotides in length. Their secondary structure includes four short double-helical elements and three loops (D, anti-codon, and T loops). Further hydrogen bonds mediate the characteristic L-shaped molecular structure. tRNAs have two regions of fundamental functional importance: the anti-codon, which is responsible for specific mRNA codon recognition, and the 3' end, to which the tRNAs corresponding amino acid is attached (by aminoacyl-tRNA synthetases). tRNAs cope with the degeneracy of the genetic code in two manners: having more than one tRNA (with a specific anti-codon) for a particular amino acid; and 'wobble' base-pairing, i.e. permitting non-standard base-pairing at the 3rd anti-codon position. The record is from RNAcentral. RNAcentral also lists the same sequence under 1 other name.